AAAUGUUGAGCGGUAAGACCGUUGUAGGUUCUUCCGGCGUUCCCAUCCAUCGGUUGGCUAAGCCGGGGGGUAACAAGCCUACAGGGCACGCUCUUUUU
This 98-nucleotide non-coding RNA is filed under the name unclassified sequences. RNAcentral's name for it is "DUF3800-V RNA". It matches the Rfam family "DUF3800-V RNA". The record is from Rfam by way of RNAcentral.